CAGGUCUGAUGGUCCGUCGCGUACACUUCCUGUAGAGUGUAUGAGGAAAGUCCGGGCAACACAGAGCGCCACACUCCCCACGGGGAGGCCGCAGAAAUGUGGCAGAAGUGUGACAGAAAACAACCGCCCCGCCCGGGGUAAGGGUGAAAAGGUGGGGUAAGAGCCCACCGGGCCGGAUGGCGACAUUCGGUGCCGCACACCUUGUGGGUUGCAAGGUCAAGUAUACCGGCAUUCAAGGGCUGCUCGUCCAUUGUCGGGGGGUAGACUGCGCAAGAUAAAUGACGGACGGCAAGGGGAAGGUCGGCGCGAGCUGAAACCGCCCCUCCACAUAACCCGGCUUACAUUCGGGCCUCCCUG
This 357-nucleotide RNase P RNA is filed under the name Muribaculaceae bacterium. RNAcentral describes it as "RNase P RNA component class A". It matches the Rfam family "Bacterial RNase P class A". Rfam says of the family: Ribonuclease P (RNase P) is a ubiquitous endoribonuclease, found in archaea, bacteria and eukarya as well as chloroplasts and mitochondria. Its best characterised activity is the generation of mature 5'-ends of tRNAs by cleaving the 5'-leader elements of precursor-tRNAs. Lineage: Bacteria; Pseudomonadati; Bacteroidota; Bacteroidia; Bacteroidales; Muribaculaceae. The record is from RNAcentral.